RNAcentral lists this microRNA (21 nucleotides) under Drosophila pseudoobscura pseudoobscura. Its description in RNAcentral is "mir-2566a-1-RB". Lineage: Eukaryota; Metazoa; Arthropoda; Insecta; Diptera; Drosophilidae. The record is from RNAcentral.
CAUAACUUGUGUCUCUUAGAU